GUAGGGAAUAUUGCGCAAUGGACGAAAGUCUGACGCAGCGACGCCGCGUGAGUGAUGAAGGCCUUAGGGUCGUAAAGCUCUGUUGAAUGGGAAGAAAAAAAUGACGGUACCAUUCGAGGAAGGACCGGCUAACUUCGUGCCAGCAGCCGCGGUAAUACGAGGGGUCCUAGCGUUGGUCGGAAUCAUUGGGCGUAAAGGGUGUGUAGGUGGCCAUGUAAGUCAGGUGUGAAAGCCCCGGGCUCAACCCGGGAAGUGCACUUGAUACUGCGUGGCUUGAGUACCGAAGAGGGUAGUGGAAUUCCAGGUGUAGUGGUGAAAUACGUAGAUAUCUGGAGGAACACCGGUGGCGAAGGCGGCUACCUGGUCGAGUACUGACACUGAGACGCGAAAGCAUGGGGAUCAAACAGGAUUAGAUACCCGAGUAGUCC
RNAcentral lists this ribosomal RNA (428 nucleotides) under uncultured bacterium. RNAcentral's name for it is "partial 16S ribosomal RNA". It matches the Rfam family "Bacterial small subunit ribosomal RNA", at positions 354 to 796 of the family's 1533-position model. The record is from RNAcentral.